RNAcentral lists this ribosomal RNA (190 nucleotides) under uncultured Flavobacterium sp. Its description in RNAcentral is "partial 16S ribosomal RNA". It matches the Rfam family "Bacterial small subunit ribosomal RNA", at positions 337 to 524 of the family's 1533-position model. The record is from RNAcentral. Lineage: Bacteria; Pseudomonadati; Bacteroidota; Flavobacteriia; Flavobacteriales; Flavobacteriaceae.
UCCUACGGGAGGCAGCAGUGAGGAAUAUUGGACAAUGGAGGCAACUCUGAUCCAGCCAUGCCGCGUGAAGGAAGACUGCCCUAUGGGUUGUAAACUUCUUUUAUAUAGGAAGAAACACUCUCACGUGUGAGAGCUUGACGGUACUAUAUGAAUAAGGACCGGCUAACUCCGUGCCAGCAGCCGCGGUAAU